This is a long non-coding RNA of Homo sapiens (human), 242 nucleotides long. RefSeq lists it as uncharacterized. The transcript has 3 exons. NCBI's taxonomy places the organism in Eukaryota, Metazoa, Chordata, Mammalia, Primates, Hominidae. The record is from RefSeq and is a predicted model, not a curated record.
CAAACAUUGAGCACGUGCUAUGUGCUGAGCACUGAGGAAACAUAAUUGCAAAGGCCUUAAGAAUGCUGUCCUAUUCAGAGAAUGUCAUCAUGUGGACAAAGUCCUGAGCAAUGGAUAAGGAUGACAACUGAUAUGACAGCAGGAAGUUUUUUUUCUCAGGUAGUAGAAGAAAAUCAAUUUUUAGAUUGAGAACAUCAUUACAUUGAGAACAUGUUGUAAGAAAAAUGGUGAAAAAGUACAAG